Molecule: RNA transcript, 6064 nt
Organism: Choloepus didactylus (southern two-toed sloth)
Lineage: Eukaryota; Metazoa; Chordata; Mammalia; Pilosa; Megalonychidae
Gene: TCOF1
Gene name: treacle ribosome biogenesis factor 1
Exons: 28
Source: RefSeq, a predicted model, not a curated record
GCGUGCAGGUGAGCCUAGUGGCCGGGGGUCGCGGGCAUGGCCGAGGCCAGAAAGCGGCGGGAGCUGCUUCCCCUGAUCUACCAUCAUCUGCUGCGUGCGGGCUAUGUGCGCGCAGCGCGGGAAGUGAAGGAGCAGAGUGGGCAGAAAAUUUUCCUGGCCCAGCCUGUUACCCUUCUGGACAUCUAUACACACUGGCAACAAACCUCAGAGAUUGGUCGGAAGCGGAAGGCAGAGGAUGAUGCAGCGCUGCUGGCCAAGAAGGCCCGUGUGUCGGACCCUAUUAGCAGCUCGGAAAGCUCGGAAGAGGAGGAGGAGGAGGCAGAAGCCGAAACCACCAAAGCCAGGAUGACCCCAAGACUCGUGUCUGCCAACUCCUCAGUCAUGGGGACAGAUUUGCCAUCAGGCACGAAAGAAAAAGCUCAGGCAAAGGCAAAGAAAGCCAGCGACCCAGUGAACUCCAUACCACACCCUGCCUCUGGGAAGGCAGUGGCCCGCCUUCCCUCUGGGACGUCACCCAAGAAGUCAGCAGGGCCCUUGGCAAAUACCACCUUAGUCUCAGAAACUGAAGAAGAGGGCAGCGCCCCAGCCCAUGGUGUCCUUGCCAAGCCUGGGAUAGCGUCAGCAGGCCAAGGUGACAGCUCCAGUGAGGACACCUCCAGUUCCAGUGAUGAGACAGACAUGGAGGUGAAAACCUCAGUGAAAAUCCCCCAGGUCAAAGCCUCACCAACCCCUGCCAAAGAAUCUCCAGGGAGAAAGGCAGCCCCAAUCCCUGGGAAGGCAGGGGCUGUGACACCCCAGGUCAGAGGAGGUGGCCCGACCCCAGCUGGCAAGGCCAAGAAGCCAGAAGAGGAGUCAGAGAGCAGCGAGGAGUCUGAGAGUGAGGAAGAGGCCCCUGUGGGGACCCCGAGCCAGGUGAAAGCCAUGGGGAAAACUUCCCAGAUCAAAGUUGCCUCAGCCCCUGCCAAGGGGACCCCCGGGAAAGGAGCCAUCCCAGCCCCCUCUAAAAAGACAGGGCCUGUGGCCACCCAGGCCAAGGCGGUGGGGCCAGAGGAUGACUCAGAGAGCAGCAGUGAGGAGGAGUCGGACAGUGAGGAGGAGACCCCAGCAGCCACGACCCCACUUCAGGCGAAGCCCUCAGGAAAAGUCCCCCAGGUCAGAAGUGCCCCUGCCCCUGCCAAGGAGACUCCGGGGAAAGGGGCCACCCCAGCACCUCCUGGGAAGGCAGGGCCUGCAGCUGCCCAGGCCCCAGUGGGGAAGCCAGAGGAAGAUUCGGAAAGCAGCAGUGAGGAGUCGUCGGACAGUGACGGGGAGACCCCAGCAGCCACAACCCCACUUCAGGUGAAGCCCUCAGGGAAAGCCCCCCAGGUCAGAGGCGCCCCUGCCCCUGCCAAGGAGACUCUGGGGAAAGGGGCCACCCCAGCACCCCCUGGGAAGGCAGGGCCUGCAGCUGCCCAGGCCCCAGUGGGGAAGCCAGAGGAAGAUUCAGAGAGCAGCAGUGAGGAGUUGUCGGACAGUGACGGGGAGACCCCAGCAGCCACAACCCCACUUCAGGCGAAGCCUUCAGGGAAAGCCCCCCAGGUUAGAGGUUCCUCUGCCCCUGCCAAGGAGACUCCUGGGAAAGGGGUCACCGCAGCACCCCCUGGGAAGGCAGGGCCUGCAGCUGCCCAGGCCCCAGUGGGGAAGCCAGAGGAAGAUUCAGAGAGCAGCAGCGAGGAGGAGUCGGACAGCGAGGGAGAGGCACCAGCAGCCAGGACCCUAACUGUGAGCCCGGCUCAGGCGAAGUCCUUGGGGAAAACUCUCCAGGUCAGACCUGCCUCCAGUCCCGCUAAGGGGCCUGUAGGAAGAGGGGCUGCCCCAGCUCCCCCUCAGAAAGCAUGGCCGACAGCCACCCAGGUCAAGACUGAAAGAUCCAAAGAGGACUCAGAGAGCAGUGAGGAGGAAUCUAACAGUGAGAAGGAGGCGCUGGUGGCCAGGACUCCAGCCCAGGCGAAACCAGCCAUGAAAACUCAGACCAAGGCCUCCCCAAAGAAAGGCACCUCCAUCACCCCCACAUCUGCCAAAGUCCCCCCAGUGCGAGUGGGCACGCCAGCCCCCUGGAAAGCAGGAAUGGUGACUUCUCCAGUCGACACACCAUCCCCAUCUGUAGCCAGGGGUGUCCAGAAGUCAGAGGAAGAUUCUUCAAGCAGCGAGGAAUCAGAGAGUGAGGAGGAGACAGCUCCCGCAGCACCCGUGGGACAGGCAAAGUCUGUGGGGAAAAGCCUCCAAGGGAAACCUGCCUCGGCCCCUGCCAAGGGGGCCUCAGGGCAAGGGACCACCCCAGCACUACCUGGGAAAGCGGUGCCUGUGGCUACCCAGGUCAAAGCCAAGACGAAGGAGGACUCAGAGAGCAGUGAGGAAGAAACAGACAGCGAGGAGGCACCAGCAGCCAAGACGUCAGCACAGGUGAAGGCCUCAGUGAAAACCUCCCAGACCAAAGCCAACCCAGCUUCCACCAGAGCAUCUUCAGCCAAAGGGGCAGUAUCAGCUCCUGGAAAAGUGGUCACUCCAGCAAUUCAAGCCAAACAGGGGUCCCCGGCCAAGGGAAAGCCACCAGCAAGAACCUCCCAGAGCAGUCCCACCUUGGUGAGGGGCCAGGUGUCUGCACCCGCCGUGGGGAAGGCAGUGGCCACAGCCACCCAGGUUGGGGCAGCCGGGAGAACAGAGGAGGAGGAGGAGAGCAGUGAGGAGGACUCAGACAGUGAGGAAGAUGCACCUGCUCAGGCAAAGACCUCAGGGAGACCCAGCCAGGUCAGAGCUGCCUCAGCUUCCAUCAAGGGGUCCCCAGGGAAAGUAGCUGCCCUGGCACCUCCUGGGAAGACAGGACCUGCAGCCGCCCAGGCAGGGAAGCCAGAGGAGGACUCAGAGAGUAGCAGCGAGGAGGAGUCAGACAGUGAGGAGGAGGCACCGACAGCCAUGGCCCCAGCCCAGAUGAAACCCACUGUGAAAACCCCCCAGACCAAGGCCUCCCCAAUGAAAGGCAUCCUGGGCACUCCUGUGUCUACCAAGACCCCGACAGCACAAGUGGAUACACCGGUCCCCUGGAAGGCGAGGCCAGCAACUUCCACCAAGGCAAAUGAGGCCAAGAAUCCAAAAGUGUCACAGUCAGAGAGUGACAAUGAGGCUCAGGCAGCAAAACAGGUCAUGACCCCUCGGAAGGAGGAUAACUCCAAAGCUGCCAGAAGCAAGACCCUGGCUCCAGCCCCCCAGGAGAAGAGUGCAGAAGGUUCCGGGAAGAGUGAGAAGGAGCUGCCAUCAGGCCAGGUGAUUAAACCCCCUCUGAUUUUUGUCGACCCUAAUCGUAGUCCAGCUGGCCCAGCUGCUACCCCCGCACAAGCCCAGGCUGCGAGCACCCCAAGGAAGGCCUGGGCCUCAGAGAGCACAGCCAGGAGCUCCUCCUCUGAGAGCGAGGAUGAGGACGUGAUCCCCGCCACCCAGUGCCCAACUCCUCCUGUCAUUAGAACCAACACGGUGACCGUACCCGCUGUCCACCCAAGGACGGCCCCCAGAGCCAGUGUUGCCAGUGCCAGCGAGGAGUCUGGUGGGGCAUCAGAAGUCAAGAAGGAGGAACCAGCCACCCAGGUAACAAAGAAGAACCCGGCUUCCCUCCCACUGACCCAGGCCGCACUGAAAGUCCUCGCCCAGAAAGCCAGUGAGGCCCAGCCUCCCACUGCCAGGGCCCAGUCUUCAAGUGAGGUUGACAGUGCUCCAGGAAAACUCUCUCUGCUGAAUCCCAAGAGCACUACUGUCCAGGCCAAAGUGACCAACAAGCUCAGAAAACCCAAACUUCCUGAGGCCCAGAAGGCCACAGCCACUCCCUCGGGACACCCCAAAGCCAAGGCCUCUGCGACUUCAGAUGACAGCGAGGACAGCAGUGACAGCUCCUUGGAGAGCAAGGAGGAUGCUAAGGAGGACAAACUGAGCAAGUUGGCACCCAGGCUAGUAGGUCCAGCCCCAUCCAAGAAGGAGACCCUGGUGGAGGAGACCACAGCAGAGUCCAGCGAGGAUGAGGUGGUAGAGCCUUCCCAGUCUCUCCUCUCAGGUUAUGUGACCCCCGGGUCGACCCCAGCUAAUUCCCAGGCUUCGAAGACCACUCCCAGGCCAUAUACCAACCCCUCAGUUUCCUCUACUCUGGCCACCAAAGAUGCCCCAGAUAGCAAGCCAGAGGUGGAGCGCCAAGAAGCAGCAACCACCACGUCCCCUAAAACAGGCAGGAAAGAGGCUGCCUCAGGAACCAAACCUCAGAAGUCCCGGAAGCCCAAGAAGGGGGCCGCGAACCCCCCAGCCUCAACACUGGCCUUGCAGAGCAACAUCACCCAGCGCCUCCUGAAUGAGCCCUGGCCCCUGAACGAGGCCCAAGUGCAAGCCUCGGUGGCAAAGGUCCUAGCAGAGCUGCUGGAGCAGGAAAGAAAGACAGCCACAGAUGCCAGCAAGAAGGCCCGAGGGGACCGCAAGCGGAAGCUGUCAGAAGACCAGCCAGCUGCCAAGGCCCCUAAGAACAAGAAGAAGAAGAAACUGGCAGCUGGGGAAGGCAGGGAGGGUGCUGCUUCCCCAGAAAAGGCCACCAGGACUCCCAAGGAGAAAUCAAAGAGUGACAAAGCGAGUGGCGAUGUCCAUGAGAAGAAGGGGAGGGGGUCUCCUAACUCCCAGGGGGCCAAGGACAAGCCAGAAGGGGAGCUGGGGAUGGAGAAGGUUGAGGGUGGAGACCAAGGCAACCCAAAGAGCAAGAAGGAGAAGAAGAGUUCCGACAAGAAAAAAAAAGACAAAGAAAAAAAGGCAAAGAAGAAGAAAGCAAAAAAAGUCUCCACCAAAGACGCUGACUUGGCAUCCCAAAAGAAAAAGAAGAAAAAGGUACAGUGAGUUCCUGAGGGUUCUCAGGCCAGACAAAGGACUGAAACCCAGUCCCCGGGUUGAAAGCUGUCACCUCCAUCCCACGCGUCAGGCUGGUCCCUGCCCCCCUGUUCUAUUCUUGGGGUCCAGUGGAGGAGCUUGGGAGCUGUGGCACACUAGGGGACAGCCAUGGAGGGUGUGUCCCCCUGAAGGAGGCACAAGGUCUGUGCAUGUGGUAAGCUACAGCAGUAACCCUGACUUGCCUGUGAGAGAGAAGAAGGUACUGGGGGUGGGGAGGGAGGAUUACCGAGGAUGUGUCUGUCCCCGCCGGCAGAGUAUCCCACCAAAGAACUCACCCCUGUCUACUUAACGAGUGACCAAGGCCAACCGCCUGGAUGGGGCUGACCUUACAAGCCCAUCCGGGGGCUUCAGCACCUACCCACAAGUGACGUGGUCCUCCCUGUGGCCUGCAGAGGCCUCUGCUGGGUUUAGAAAAACUGAACAUCUGUUGCUGAAAGCUCGGGGUUGCUUUCUUGAGGGCACACGGAGCACAGUCCCUGCCCUCAGGGAUUCCUGCAGACCUGAUAUCUGUUCUGGGGAGCCACAAAUCCUCAGGAUUGGGGGAUAGCAUUGGGCAGGGAGCAGCUUCAGGUCAAAAGCCUCUCCCGCUUCUCUCCUCACAGAAGAAGACAGCAGAGCAGACAGCCUGAAGAGCUCAGAGCAGCAGGAAUUUCUCAGCCAAAUGGUGACCAUCCAUCCCUGUGCCUCUGGCGUCUGCCCACCCUGGAUUGCAACUGAAUUUUUAAUUUCCCCUCCCUCCCCAGAAGAAAACAGUCAGCUGCAGUGUCCAGUGUGCUGGCCAAGCCAGGGAGUCCUGCAGAGCGGCUGGUUCGAAAAAUGCACCCAGUACCUGUAACCUCCUGCUCAUUCUCCACAGCACAGAAGACAGCUCUGCAGACACAGGACGCUUCAUAUAGAUGUGUACAGUAUAUAUAUAUUUUUUUAAGUGCCCUGCCUCUCCCCCUCAAGUCCAACAUUUCCGAAGGCCUCAGGACUUGCCACAACUUCGCUCUGCAGACCUACGGAGGCCUGGCCUGCACCUCACCCCACGCCACUUGGUCUCUGGCAGAUGCUGAGGCUUUGUCCUUCUUUUGUCACUUUCUCCCCCCCCCUUUUUUUUUUUUUUAAAGAACUCAGA